This 446-nucleotide ribosomal RNA is filed under the name uncultured bacterium. RNAcentral describes it as "SSU rRNA". It matches the Rfam family "Bacterial small subunit ribosomal RNA", at positions 26 to 518 of the family's 1533-position model. The record is from RNAcentral.
AGAGCGAACGCUGGCGGCAGGCCUAAAACAUGCAAGUCGAACGGACCCUUCGGGGUUAGUGGCGGACGGGUGAGUAACACGUGGGAACGUGCCUUUUGGUUCAGAACAACUCAGGGAAACUUGAGCUAAUACUGAAUAAGCCCUACGGGGGAAAGAUUUAUCGCCAUUAGAGCGGCCCGCGUUGGAUUAGCUAGUUGGUGAGGUAAAGGCUCACCAAGGCUACGAUCCAUAGCUGGUCUGAGAGGAUGAUCAGCCACACUGGGACUGAGACACGGCCCAGACUCCUACGGGAGGCAGCAGUUAGGAAUCUUGCGCAAUGGGCGAAAGCCUGACGCAGCCAUGCCGCGUGAAUGAUGAAGGUCUUAGGAUUGUAAAAUUCUUUCAGCGGGGAAGAUAAUGACUGUACCCGCAGAAGAAGCUCCGGCUAACUUCGUGCCAGUAGCCGC